Molecule: small RNA, 28 nt
Filed under: Bombyx mori (domestic silkworm)
Lineage: Eukaryota; Metazoa; Arthropoda; Insecta; Lepidoptera; Bombycidae
Description: ovarian small RNA-20654
Source: RNAcentral
UACCCCGCAGGUGAGUCCGCAGGGCGUC